This 107-nucleotide transfer RNA is filed under the name Felis catus (domestic cat). It matches the Rfam family "tRNA". From Rfam's summary of the family: Transfer RNA (tRNA) molecules are approximately 80 nucleotides in length. Their secondary structure includes four short double-helical elements and three loops (D, anti-codon, and T loops). The record is from Rfam by way of RNAcentral. Lineage: Eukaryota; Metazoa; Chordata; Mammalia; Carnivora; Felidae.
AUGAGGAUGGCCAAGCGGUCUAAGGCACCAGCCUCAAGCUCCUGCUUCUCCUGGUCAGCGCUUCUGGUCUCCACCUGGAGGUGUGGGCUCGAAUCCCACUUCUGACC